This 293-nucleotide long non-coding RNA is filed under the name Hordeum vulgare. RNAcentral's name for it is "long non-coding RNA (HVUL_LNC013364)". The record is from RNAcentral. Lineage: Eukaryota; Viridiplantae; Streptophyta; Magnoliopsida; Poales; Poaceae.
GAAAAGCCAUGGGCAUUUGUCACAAUUCGACACAUGUCUUCCCCACGCAAAUGGCGAAGCUGAGAUCAGGCCAUGCUGUCUUACAUGGUGCCAUCAUCAGGCGCCUUUGAUUCCUCGUCUAGUGUAACAAUUCUCCACCACUACCAUGCUAGUGUGGGGCACUUUGUUUUACUUUCUUGUCACACCCUCGUAUGCCCCCGAACACAACAAACAAACAGAUCAAACCAGCAUAAAACAACUCGGCGUAGGGCUGCAGGAAGCCGUCUAGCCCGCAGCGCCAAAAGCCCACCCAG